UGGCAGAGGCUCCUUCCUGCAGCUGCACCAGGUGAGUUCCUGUUGGGCACUGAGGCUGAGCUGCUGCCCCUUGGGCACAGAGCACACUGGCAUCACUGGCCAUGGCUGGAAUGUGCCCCACGGGCACAGGGUGGCCUCUGGCCAGGUGCUGGCACUCAGAUGGUCAGACAGACAGAUGGCUGUAACACCAAGUGUAAGUGCAAAAACAGAUGGGGGCCCAACGGCACAUUUCCCAAAAAUGCAAUCCCUUUGCUCAAAGCAGCUCCCAUUCUGCUGGGAGGUGUGGGGGGGUGUGUGUGUGCCCAGGAGCAACCAAGCAGCAGCAGGACAGGGCUCUGUGGCUGCUGCAUCUCAGAUUUCUGCUGCUUUAAAAUACCUGGGAUUUAACUAUAACAAUUUUCACCCCAUCAGCCUACGAAAUGUGUAAACCAAAACAGAUCAGCUACUGCCAACAGGAGCUCUGCUCACUACAGCAGGUGCCAGGAAGGCACACAGAGUCCUCAGAAGCCUUCAGCUGUGUUGUACUCUGGCUGGAGACAGGUCACAGCCUGCUGGGACAAGGUGAGGAGGUUACCCACUUGUUCACUCUGUGCUGGGAAGGGGUCAUGGCAGGAGUGUGGCUUUUGUUCUUCUAAAAGGGAUUUGCUUAUUUUUGUUUCUCUAGGGAGCAGCUCCAGUGCACAGCCAUUGCACACAGCACAGAAAGGCCACGGCACUCCCACAGUGGGACAGCACCAACUGGAGAGCUCUUCCUCAUCCACCUGUGCUCCAGCAGGGAACAUCUGCUACCUGGCCAGUCACAGGAAAGCCUCUCUUUAGAAGAAAUUCCCUAAUGCACAGAGAGCUGGAAACAAGCAUUCCCAGCAUGAGGGCUGGCACAGAAUUCUCCCUGGAAGGUGCCUUAACCUCUGGAAAAAUUCUAGAGAAUCACAAUUUCUUCCACUACAUAACAGGUAGGAGGGAGGAACAGCCUUAGAACCAGGCAGGGAGAGCACAGGAAUGUUCUGAACCCUCUCUGAAGGCUGGCACCUUUGGCAUCCCUUCUGAACUUCCUUGAGGGAUGGUUGUGUUUUGAAGCACAGACCCACUUCCAGUGCAGCAACUGACUCCAUUCUCAGCUGUGC
Molecule: long non-coding RNA, 1124 nt
Organism: Melozone crissalis (California towhee)
Lineage: Eukaryota; Metazoa; Chordata; Aves; Passeriformes; Passerellidae
Exons: 3
Source: RefSeq, a predicted model, not a curated record